GACGAACGCUGGCGGCGUGCUUAACACAUGCAAGUCGAACGAAGAGCGAUGGAAGCUUGCCUCUAUCAAUCUUAGUGGCGAACGGGUGAGUAACGCGUAAUCAACCUGCCCUUCAGAGGGGGACAACAGUUGGAAACGACUGCUAAUACCGCAUACGAUCUAAUCUCGGCAUCGAGGAUAGAUGAAAGGUGGCCUCUACAUGUAAGCUAUCACUGAAGGAGGGGAUUGCGUCUGAUUAGCUAGUUGGAGGGGUAACGGCCCACCAAGGCGAUGAUCAGUAGCCGGUCUGAGAGGAUGAACGGCCACAUUGGGACUGAGACACGGCCCAGACUCCUACGGGAGGCAGCAGUGGGGAAUCUUCCGCAAUGGACGAAAGUCUGACGGAGCAACGCCGCGUGAGUGAUGACGGCCUUCGGGUUGUAAAGCUCUGUUAAUCGGGACGAAAGGCCUUCUUGCGAAUAGGGAGAAGGAUUGACGGUACCGGAAGAGAAAGCCACGGCUAACUACGUG
This 510-nucleotide ribosomal RNA is filed under the name uncultured bacterium. RNAcentral's name for it is "partial 16S ribosomal RNA". It matches the Rfam family "Bacterial small subunit ribosomal RNA", at positions 28 to 507 of the family's 1533-position model. The record is from RNAcentral.